Molecule: long non-coding RNA, 694 nt
Organism: Psammomys obesus (fat sand rat)
Lineage: Eukaryota; Metazoa; Chordata; Mammalia; Rodentia; Muridae
Exons: 3
Source: RefSeq, a predicted model, not a curated record
GCAUAGUCAUAGCUUCCUGGUCCAGCCACAAACAGCUGCUGCAGGUGGAAGAGCGAUGACAGCCUCUGCCAUUCGUGUGAAGCCCCCUCACCCUCAGGUGACCAUUCUAAGGACGCCUACCUAACAGUGUGUGACACCUGUCAGCUUACCAGAAAAACCGUCAGAGGACCGGGCACCCCAGAUGUGGCAGGAGAGCCUGCACAGGAGACAGACAAGUGGCAGGAGUGAAAGGACAGCAACGCUUCAGAAGCAGGUGGUACAGACAACCACGGACGUAUCUAGGGCGGUUCCACAGCCAUCCCAUACUCUAACUCCUUUAAAACACACUGCGGACUGUCAGGAUAGCUCACGAGAGGCAUCUGGACUGUUACCAGCUUCUGGCUAUUACAAAUAAGGCUGCUACAAACUGAGACUGAUACUCCAACCAAGGACUAUGCAUGGAGAUAACCUAAGACCCUACACAGAUGUAGCCCAUGGCAGUUCAGUAUCCAAGUGGGUUCCAUUGUAAUAGGAACAGGAACUGCCUCUGACAUGAACUGAUUGACCUGCUCUUUAAUUACCUCCCCCUGAGAGGGAAGCAACAUUACCAGGCCACAGAAGAAGACAAUGCAGCCACUCCUGAUGAGACCUACUUCACUAGGAUCCCAAGGAAGGAAAAGAAGACCUCCCCUAUCAGUGGACUUGGGGAGGAGCA